RNAcentral lists this unclassified non-coding RNA (214 nucleotides) under Leucosporidium intermedium. RNAcentral describes it as "ITS 2". Lineage: Eukaryota; Fungi; Basidiomycota; Microbotryomycetes; Leucosporidiales; Leucosporidiaceae. The record is from RNAcentral.
ACUCUUCAACCCACCAGUUUCUUGUAGACUGAUUGGUGUUUGGAUUUUGAGCGUUGCUGGAUCUUCGGAUCGUAGCUCGUUCGUAAUAUAUUAGCAACUCUAAUUCGAACUCGGAUUGACUCAGUGUAAUAGACUAUUCGCUGAGGACACGUGCUUGCAUGUGGCCGAAUGAGAUCUCAGUAGGAGCUUCCAACUACAGUAGUCAACUUUAGAU